RNAcentral lists this ribosomal RNA (253 nucleotides) under uncultured bacterium. RNAcentral's name for it is "partial 16S ribosomal RNA". It matches the Rfam family "Bacterial small subunit ribosomal RNA", at positions 524 to 776 of the family's 1533-position model. The record is from RNAcentral.
UACGUAGGGAGCAAGCGUUGUCCGGAAUCAUUGGGCGUAAAGCGCGCGUAGGCGGCCCGAUAAGUCCGCCGUAAAAGUCAACGGCUCAACUGUUGAAAGCCGGUGGAUACUGUCGGGCUAGAGUACGGAAGAGGCAAGUGGAAUUCCUGGUGUAGCGGUGAAAUGCGCAGAUAUCAGGAGGAACACCGGUGGCGAAGGCGGGUCUCUGGGCCGAUACUGACGCUGAGGAGCGAAAGCGUGGGGAGCGAACAGG